UGAGGAAUCUUGCGCAAUGGGGGAAACCCUGACGCAGCAACGCCGCGUGAGUGAGGAAGGUCUUCGGAUCGUAAAGCUCUGUCAGUUGGGAAGAAAUGCUUGAGGGUUAAUACCCCUUAGGCUUGACGGUACCAACAGAGGAAGCACCGGCUAACUCCGUGCCAGCAGCCGCGGUAAUACGGGGGGUGCAAGCGUUGUUCGGAAUUAUUGGGCGUAAAGAGCGUGUAGGCGGCCUGAUGUGUCAGAUGUGAAAGCCCUGGGCUUAACCCAGGAAGUGCAUUUGAAACUGUCAGGCUCGAGUAGGGGAGAGGGAAGUGGAAUUCCUGGUGUAGAGGUGAAAUUCGUAGAUAUCAGGAGGAACACCGGUGGCGAAGGCGACUUCCUGGCCCUAUACUGACGCUGAGACGCGAGAGCGUGGGUAGCAAACA
RNAcentral lists this ribosomal RNA (428 nucleotides) under uncultured prokaryote. RNAcentral's name for it is "bacterial SSU rRNA". It matches the Rfam family "Bacterial small subunit ribosomal RNA", at positions 355 to 774 of the family's 1533-position model. The record is from RNAcentral.